RNAcentral lists this ribosomal RNA (437 nucleotides) under Porphyromonas endodontalis. Its description in RNAcentral is "bacterial SSU rRNA". It matches the Rfam family "Bacterial small subunit ribosomal RNA", at positions 28 to 455 of the family's 1533-position model. The record is from RNAcentral. Lineage: Bacteria; Pseudomonadati; Bacteroidota; Bacteroidia; Bacteroidales; Porphyromonadaceae.
GAUGAACGCUAGCGAUAGGCUUAACACAUGCAAGUCGAGGGGCAGCAUUAUUUUAGCUUGCUAAGAUAGAUGGCGACCGGCGCACGGGUGCGUAACGCGUAUGCAACCUGCCUGUAAUUAGGGAAUAACCCGGUGAAAGUCGGACUAAUACCCUAUAUUCUUCUUUCUCCGCAUGGGGGAGGAUGGAAAGAUUUAUUGAUUACAGAUGGGCAUGCGUCCCAUUAGCUCGUUGGUAAGGUAACGGCUUACCAAGGCAACGAUGGGUAGGGGGACUGGGAGGUUGACCCCCCACACUGGUACUGAGACACGGACCAGACUCCUACGGGAGGCAGCAGUGAGGAAUAUUGGUCAAUGGGCGAGAGCCUGAACCAGCCAAGUCGCGUGAAGGACGACGGUUCUAUGGAUUGUAAACUUCUUUUGUAGAGGAAUAAUGGCAG